This is a long non-coding RNA of Melanotaenia boesemani (Boeseman's rainbowfish), 100 nucleotides long. RefSeq lists it as uncharacterized. The transcript has 3 exons. Lineage: Eukaryota; Metazoa; Chordata; Actinopteri; Atheriniformes; Melanotaeniidae. The record is from RefSeq and is a predicted model, not a curated record.
CAUAGUUUAGAGAUGAUGGACUGAAGGAAAUAGAGGAAGAGGAAUUGAGAGCAUCAUCAGAGAUUAUAAAAACUACUGUUUACUAUUCAUUUGAUAUUUA